RNAcentral lists this transfer RNA (71 nucleotides) under [Clostridium] fimetarium. Its description in RNAcentral is "Clostridium fimetarium tRNA". It matches the Rfam family "tRNA". Rfam says of the family: Transfer RNA (tRNA) molecules are approximately 80 nucleotides in length. The record is from Rfam by way of RNAcentral. Lineage: Bacteria; Bacillati; Bacillota; Clostridia; Lachnospirales; Lachnospiraceae.
AGGGGUGUAGUCAAAUGGUAUGAUAGGAGUCUCCAAAACUUUUGGCGGGAGUUCGAUUCUCUCCACCCCUG